GGGGAUUUAGUUAAUUAUAACAUUUAGUUUGCAUCUAAAAAGUAUUGAAUACCAAUAUUUCUCA
This 64-nucleotide transfer RNA is filed under the name Hydroporus sp. NHM-IR526. RNAcentral's name for it is "tRNA-Ala". Lineage: Eukaryota; Metazoa; Arthropoda; Insecta; Coleoptera; Dytiscidae. The record is from RNAcentral.